This is a non-coding RNA of Kogia breviceps (pygmy sperm whale), 543 nucleotides long. Lineage: Eukaryota; Metazoa; Chordata; Mammalia; Artiodactyla; Physeteridae. The record is from RefSeq and is a predicted model, not a curated record.
CUCUCACUCGGCGUUCCUUGACUUUUUGGUCUGGCUCGCUUUUUGUUUUGAGCCAGGUGCACCACAGAUAAUACAAAACCUUGUAAGAGCCUGGAAAUUACAGAGUUGAUGACAGGGGAAACGACUUCUCUCUGAAGAUGAAAUCUAAACUGAACUACCUUUCCAGGUGAUCUGGCAAAUGAUCAAAUGCCUUCCUGGAUCAAGCCUUUUCUUCCUUUUCCAUCUCUUACUGAUUCAUCCCAGUUUAGUUAGUAAAUGAGUCUAAGUUUAUUUUCAACAUCCAAAUUCUUCCAAUUCUUUGUUCUUUGCAAUGCUCCAGUUUAGUGCUUCUGUAUUAUCUUAAUGCAACUGAGUGCUUCUGUAUGAUCCUAAUCUUUACUCACGUUUAUGACCCAUAGGCUGGUCUCAGGAAUAAUAUCAGCUACUUAGAUGUUUAUGUGAUGUUAGAUCAUAAAUGCUUGCAUUUUAAACAUACUAAUCCUUGAAUUAGGGAAUAAUAAGCAGGGUUUUGGAAACGACCUAGCAAGUAGAGGAGAAUUUUGA